RNAcentral lists this microRNA precursor (52 nucleotides) under Mustela putorius furo (domestic ferret). RNAcentral's name for it is "mir-1302 microRNA precursor family". It matches the Rfam family "mir-1302 microRNA precursor family". The record is from Rfam by way of RNAcentral. Lineage: Eukaryota; Metazoa; Chordata; Mammalia; Carnivora; Mustelidae. RNAcentral also lists the same sequence under 1 other name.
UUUUAAGUAUAAGUAUGUCUCAUGUAAUAUUUGGGAUGCAUUUAUACUAAAA